CCUACGGGAGGCAGCAGUGGGGAAUAUUGGGCAAUGGGCGCAAGCCUGACCCAGCAACGCCGCGUGAAGGAAGAAGGCUUUCGGGUUGUAAACUUCUUUUGGCAGGGAAGCAAAGAAGACGGUUCCUGGCGAAUAAGGCACGGCUAACUACGUGCCAGCAGCCGCGGCAAUACGUAGGUGGCAAGUCUUGUUCGGAAUUACCGGGUGUAAAGGGGGUGUAGGCGGGUGGGGAAGUCCGACGUGAAAACCCGCGGCUUAACCGACGUACUGCAGUUGAAACUGGUGGUCUUGAGUACUGGAGAGGCAGGCGGAAUGCGUAGUGUAGCGGUGAAAUGCGUAGAUAUUAGGAGGAACACCAGUGGCGAAGGCGGUAUGCUGGACAGCAACUGACGGUGAGGCGCGAAAGCGUGGGGAGCAAACAGGAUUAGAUACCCUAGUAGUC
Molecule: ribosomal RNA, 442 nt
Filed under: uncultured bacterium
Lineage: Bacteria
Description: partial 16S ribosomal RNA
Rfam family: Bacterial small subunit ribosomal RNA
Source: RNAcentral